CAGUCGCCGCGGUAAUACGUAGGGUGCGAGCGUUAAUCGGAAUUACUGGGCGUAAAGCGUGCGCAGGCGGUUUUGUAAGACAGGCGUGAAAUCCCCGGGCUCAACCUGGGAAUGGCGCUUGUGACUGCAAAGCUAGAGUGCGGCAGAGGGGGAUGGAAUUCCGCGUGUAGCAGUGAAAUGCGUAGAUAUGCGGAGGAACACCGAUGGCGAAGGCAAUCCCCUGGGCCUGCACUGACGCUCAUGCACGAAAGCGUGGGGAGCAAACAGGAUUAGAUACCCGCGUAGUCCCUGUCUCUUAUAC
Molecule: ribosomal RNA, 301 nt
Filed under: uncultured bacterium
Lineage: Bacteria
Description: partial 16S ribosomal RNA
Rfam family: Bacterial small subunit ribosomal RNA
Source: RNAcentral